AAUGAACGCUGGCGGCGUGCUUAACACAUGCAAGUCGAGCGAGAACGUCGACUUCGGUCGAUUAGUACAGCGGCGAACGGGUGAGUAACACGUGGGCAACUUGCCCUGGAGUGGGGGAUAACCUGGGGAAACUCGGGCUAAUACCGCAUACGACCUCAGCACUGCGGUGCUGAGAGGAAAGCUAGCCUAUUCUUGAAAGCUAGCGCUCUUGGAGGGGCCCGCGCCCGAUUAGCUUGUUGGUGAGGUAACGGCUCACCAAGGCGGUGAUCGGUAGCCGGCCUGAGAGGGCGAUCGGCCACACUGGGACUGAGACACGGCCCAGACUCCUACGGGAGGCAGCAGUGGGGAAUAUUGGACAAUGGGCGCAAGCCUGAUCCAGCAACGCCGCGUGGAGGACGAAGGCCUUCGGGUCGUAAACUCCUGUCAGUUGGGACGAAAAGUCGUCGGUCAAUAGCCGGCGAUCAUGACGGUACCAGCAGAGGAAGCCCCGGCUAACUCCGUG
Molecule: ribosomal RNA, 502 nt
Filed under: uncultured Acidobacteriota bacterium
Lineage: Bacteria; Pseudomonadati; Acidobacteriota
Description: bacterial SSU rRNA
Rfam family: Bacterial small subunit ribosomal RNA
Source: RNAcentral